AUCGCUUCUCGGCCUCUUGGCUAAGAUCAAAGUGUAGUAUCUGUUCUUAUCAGCUCAAUGAGGCCGAGAAUCCGUCGAUCCCCCCAGCAAUUCCUAUUGACAAUCUACCAUCCCCUAUCAUUCUCUAAAAGUGCGAUGCGCAUCGCACCCUAUCGAGUGGCAACUAUUAUUCUUAUGCCGCAGUUGGAGUAUUCUA
Molecule: small nuclear RNA, 196 nt
Organism: Gordionus sp. m RMFG-2023
Lineage: Eukaryota; Metazoa; Nematomorpha; Gordioida; Chordodea; Parachordodidae
Product: U2 spliceosomal RNA
Exons: 1
Source: RefSeq, a predicted model, not a curated record